AGUGAAAUAGCGGGUCAAAUGGUCAUUCCAUUCAUGGAAUCUCCAUGCUGCUUUCCAUAGUGGUUGCACCAAUUUGCAGUCCCAUCAGCAAU
RNAcentral lists this microRNA precursor (92 nucleotides) under Marmota monax (woodchuck). The record is from RNAcentral. Lineage: Eukaryota; Metazoa; Chordata; Mammalia; Rodentia; Sciuridae.